UCGGGUGAGGGCCUUCAGCUCGCACUGGAACGGUUCGCAGCCGAGUGUGAAGCAGCGGGAAUGAGGAUCAGCACCUCCAAAUCUGAGGCCAUGGUUCUCAGCCGGAAAAGGGUGGAGUGCCCACUCCGGGUCGGGGAUGAGUUCCUGCCCCAAGUGGAGGAGUUCAAGUAUCUCGGGGUCUUGUUCGCGAGUGAUGGGAGAAGGGAGCCGGAGAUCGACAGACGGAUUGGGGCUGCAGCCGCAGUAAUGCGGACGCUGCACCGGUCCGUCGUGGUGAAGAGGGAGCUGAGUGUAAAAGCGAAGCUCUCAAUUUACCGGUCGAUCUACGUCCCUACCCUCACCUAUGGCCACGAGCUGUGGGUAGUGACCGAAAGAACGAGAUCGCGGAUACAAGCGGCAGAAAUGAGCUUCCUCCGAAGGGUGGCUGGCCUCUCCCUUAGAGAUAGGGUGAGAAGUUCGGCCAUCCGGGAGGGGCUCAGAGUAGAGCAGCUGCUGCUCCACAUCGAAAGGAGCCAGCUGAGGUGGUUCGGGCAUCUGACAAGGAUGCCCCCUGGGCGCCUCCUGGGUGAGGUGUUCCAGGCAUGUCCCACCGGGAGGAGGCCCCGGGGCAGACCCAGGACAUGCUGGAGAGAUUAUAUCUCUCGGCUGGCCUGGGAACGCCUUGGUAUUCCCCCGGACAAGCUGGAGGAGGUGGCUGGGGAGAGGGAGGUCUGGGCCUCCUUGCUUAGGCUGCCGCCCCCGCGACCCGGCCCCGGACAAAGCGGAUGAAGAUGGAUGGAUGGAUAAUAAUAAUAAUAAUAAUAAUAAUAAUAACAAAGGUCAAUCAAGUUACCAUAAUGAUCCACUUGGUAAAAUUAAUUCAUUGGGCAUCUUUCUUGGCCUUCAGACAAUAAUUCUGAUUGCUAAAGUACCAAACGGGACAGGCAGAAUAAAAGAAAAGAAAAGAAAAGAAAAGAAAAGAAAAGAAAAGAAAAGAAAAGAAAAGAAAAGAAAAGAAAAGAAAAGAAAAGAAAAGAAAAGAAAAGAAAAUAAAAUAAAAUAAAAUAAAAUAAAAUAAAAUAAAAUAAAUCAUCAUUUUAGGGGCAGCCUGCUCGUCCCUUGUGAGUACACAGCAUCUGUGUUAGUCUUUCAUUUCAGGCUUGUCCUCUUCACCCCAAGUCAGCAUCCUGUCCCAGGAUAGACACGGGCCACGUACCCGUCCUCUUUCUUUUAAAGUCCAUCGCCAUCUCUUUUUUUUUUAAAGUUUUAUUCACAUUAAGAAGCACACGAUUCCUUUCAGACAACUCCAUAAAUCAUCCACUAGUGCUCUACACUCCUCCUCUGCCCAUCAUUAAUAUGUUCAACCACUACAGAAUUAUCAGAGUACUUCUGUAAGUAGGAUGACCUGGAUUUGUACUGAAAGUCUGAGGUGUACAAGGUGAACGGAAAUAGAGACAACACAGUCCCUUGUGGAUCUUCUGUACAGCACACCAACAAAAAUCAGACAGAGCUCCACAUUCUUCCGCCUGUUUUGUCAGGUAUUCAUCCUAUUUUAAUUUAAGAAUGCGCUGAGUAAAUAAACCAAUUAAAAACACACUGGCACAAUUAAAUGUUGUUUUUGAUUAUAUCCAAGGCUUAUUAGACUCUGGUCUGGUUCCACCAAAUCAUGAGAAAAAUAUCUGAAGUAUAGUAACGGCUAAAUCGGUCAGCUGUUGUCAUUUUAUUUGCUCGUUGUUUGGUGCUGGUGAACAGCUGUUAGCUACAGGUGGAAAAAAUUGACCUCACCAAUGAGUUGGGUAAAAGAAAAGUAUUUGAAUUUCAUUACUAAUGGAAACCCAUUUCACACCCCAUGAAGUAAUCUGAGAGACUUACUAUUCAUUGAUUAGUGCAGUUUUCUG
This is a long non-coding RNA of Astatotilapia calliptera (eastern happy), 1877 nucleotides long. The record is from Ensembl. Lineage: Eukaryota; Metazoa; Chordata; Actinopteri; Cichliformes; Cichlidae.